RNAcentral lists this long non-coding RNA (1678 nucleotides) under Mus musculus (house mouse). Its description in RNAcentral is "predicted gene, 20559". The record is from RNAcentral. Lineage: Eukaryota; Metazoa; Chordata; Mammalia; Rodentia; Muridae.
GUCUCUCAGCCAGUUUAAGCUGGUGUUAAAGUAGACAAGCAGACUGGUUAAGACCACCAAGACUAAAUGAAGUUGUUUGUCACAGACAUCUUAGGAGGAAGAGAAUACAGAUACCAGACAUUUUCUUUACUAAAAUGGACAGUUUUUUUUUCUUUCUUUUUUUCCUUUUAAAAGAUUUUUUAUAUAGAAGAAAUCUGAAAAUUUGGAGGCAGCACCGGCUUUUUUUAAAUGAAGAAUGGUGUAUAUGAACUGAGUCUGUCUGCAUGAUGCAGCUCUGAUUUCUUGGAAUAGAAACCCUAACUAAGACACAUCCCUAAGCAGAAACUACUGCGGCUCAGGAUACUUGGUGCUCGAAACCCGGGGAAAAAACGCCUUAACAACGUGCAGCACCAGGGAGGAGACCCUCAGACCAACCGGAGCAGGUUCAGAACCAUGGUGGAUUCAGCUCCGAGAGAAUACUGAUACUGGUGAAGAAAAUCUACUUUGGGUCCCAAUGCGACUGAAAAGGACUGUGAAAGAACAAUAUGAACCCCAAGAUGAUUCUCUUACUCCUGAUGAUUGAGACCGGGAUAAGUAUACCCUUGUAGGCCAAAGUCUAUCGAAUUAUCUGAAAGGGGAACUGGUCGCAGAAGCUGGAAAGGUUGCAGACGAAGCUACAGAUACAGAUCCUGAACCUUAUUGGAACCAGAGUGGAACCAGUGACCCUUGGAGACUUCACCUCUUGACUUACCUCUGCAUUUUUCUCACUUCAAAGAAUGGGUGGGGGUGGCUCUGUUUAGCGCAGCCCUGUGUUGUGGAUUAGUGCUUAUACUAUGACUGGUUUGCAAACUCAGAUCUCAGCAGAAACGUGACAAGGUGGUAAUUGCUCAAGCACUUGCUGCCAUAGAGCAAGGCACCUCCCCUGAAAUUUGGCUAUCUAUUCUCAAGAAUUAGUUGGCAUUUGAGUUCUCUGCCUUUGCAUUCCACGAAUUUGUGGAUACAUUGCAUUGAGAUGAGAGAAACUCAACGAUCAUUGAUCAACCCGUGUGCAUUGCUGAGGUUUCCUCAUUGCAUGUGAUAGAAUGACCAUGAUUUCCCCACUAAUUUAUUUUUGGCUGGCCUCUUCUGUAGAGUUCACCCUAGGCCAUUUAGCAGUUGUAGUCACACAGCACUGUGGUAUCCAGAGACGGGCAACUUUCCUCGUGCACAGACCAACCUAAGACAAUGGGGCCCGGUGGUGAUAGGGUUACCCGAUAACGGGUAAGGCUGUGACAUUGGAGGAACGACCUAAAACAGGGGCCACAGCAGAUGGACGUAACUACAGAGGCCUAGACCAGCCUCAUUUUUAUUAAAACAUAAAGGGGGAGAUGUGGAGAGCCGCAAUAACAUUUACCAUCUUAAGAUGGCGCUGGCUCCGCAGUGCCUUAUGCCACCUAAACAAAGAACAAGCUAUAUGUGCAUCUGCUAAAAGCAAAAACCCACCAAAAGUCACCAGCCCAUUUCCAGGGCACCGGUCCAUCCCCCAGGGCACUAGCCCAACCCCUGGGGCGUUUAGCCUAUCCCUAGGGUGCAUGAGAUUUGUGGGUGUAGCUACCAGUCCUAGUUUAGACACGUCACCAAAAAGUAUUUAAGCCACACACUUUCUGAGCCUUCUUUGUCUACCUCAAUAUGUUAUGAAGUAAAGUUAACCAUGAAAGAA